This is a non-coding RNA of Macaca mulatta (Rhesus monkey), 66 nucleotides long. NCBI's taxonomy places the organism in Eukaryota, Metazoa, Chordata, Mammalia, Primates, Cercopithecidae. The record is from Rfam.
AGCUUUGUGAAGUGGCAGUAUCAUGGCCAGUGAGGUUUAUCCAAGGCAUGAUUAUUGCUAACUGAG